UACAGAGGUCUCAAGCGUUGUUCGGAUUCAUUGGGCGUAAAGGGUGCGUAGGCGGCGCGGUAAGUCGGGUGUGAAAUCUCGGAGCUUAACUCCGAAACUGCAUUCGAUACUGCCGUGCUUGAGGACUGGAGAGGAGACUGGAAUUUACGGUGUAGCGGUGAAAUGCGUAGAUAUCGUAAGGAAGACCAGUGGCGAAGGCGGGUCUCUGGACAGUUCCUGACGCUGAGGUACGAAGGCCAGGGGAGCAAACGGG
Molecule: ribosomal RNA, 253 nt
Filed under: uncultured bacterium
Lineage: Bacteria
Description: partial 16S ribosomal RNA
Rfam family: Bacterial small subunit ribosomal RNA
Source: RNAcentral